UAACCAUCCAAAAUCCCAUUGAAUUAUGGGGAGCGUGCCAUUACUCUUUGAUCCAGACCGUUGAUAUGAUGAUGUCUGCCUUCCAAUCUUCAAUAUGGGGCCCAGUUGAAGUGGCUCGACGACGCCUACCUGACUCAGGUAGGUUAAAUGAGAAAGGAUUCGGUGAGUCCAUUGAGGACGAUAUUUUCAUACCUCCACGUCUACCAACCCUUUCCAAUUAGAAUGGGUUCAGUGCAUUGCCUCCACAUCUUAUGCUAUUAUGUGCAACCUUGUUUUUUUUUGUUUUUUUGAAAGGUAACGCUAUACGGGAAUGAAUCUUAGAUCACUCACACAAGCUCUCUACCAGCAAUGGAUGUGCAACCUUCAUAUUUUAGCAGUGUGAUGAUGAUACACGUUGAUUAUAAUUCAAUUUGAAUCACUCAAA
This is a long non-coding RNA of Magnolia sinica, 424 nucleotides long. RefSeq lists it as uncharacterized. The transcript is spliced from 2 exons. The record is from RefSeq and is a predicted model, not a curated record. Lineage: Eukaryota; Viridiplantae; Streptophyta; Magnoliopsida; Magnoliales; Magnoliaceae.